Paramormyrops kingsleyae is the source of this 1527-nucleotide long non-coding RNA. RefSeq lists it as uncharacterized. NCBI's taxonomy places the organism in Eukaryota, Metazoa, Chordata, Actinopteri, Osteoglossiformes, Mormyridae. The record is from RefSeq and is a predicted model, not a curated record.
UGGAAAUCCUGUCGCUCUCAGCAUACUAAAAACAGUACUGUCAUUGCCUCCUCUUCUGUCGCCGCACACCAGUAGACCUCCUUUUCCGGCUGUUUCCCACAGCCCUCCAGUACUAGGCUGACUGACUUAUCUAAGACCCAGCCUGACUUGUUGCCUUGGUUAUCAGCCAAGCGUGUUUUAUCCACAUGGUUCAUCCUGCUGUUCGUGCUAUAUGAUCCGGUAGCAGCUAAUAUAGCUGAAACACGUCAUUAUCCAGUAAUAUAAUCCCCCGAUUGGUGCCUUCGGGCCAGAAGGGGGCAUAGGAGCCAGCAGGAGUGUGCCAGUACUCACUGAAUAUUUAUUUUCAUAAACGCAAACAUUGGUCAACCAGAUCUGUGGCAGUCGUCAUUUAAAAAUAAAUUGUUUCAUGAAAAGCCAAGAUGCGGCAGCAGUAUUUUGACUAGACGUGCUGUGCGCGCAGCGUUUUUGUACAGAUGGAGGCAUGCCUCUAGAGGAAGUGCAACUAAGCCAAACCCAGAAGCUGGCCAAGACCGUGAGAGGUAUUUGUGGCCUUUCCAGACAUAUAUUCUUACUAGCUGAGGUUAAAAGUAAUAAUUAAUCCAGGAAGGUCAGCGGCACUGACACGUUUCAUCAUCCAUGAGUGCACUGAAGUCGAUCAGAGGAUGGGGGAGAUUGUUGACCUUGAGAUGUACAGCAUAAUCUUUUAGAAGGCCAGGAGCCAUACCCAGACAUGCAGCACCACGAUACCGUCCAGCAGCAAGUGUGUUUGUUUCCCAUUGCAGAACUGAGAUGCUACUUCAACUGGUAGCCUAGGUGACCAUAAAUGCCAUUUCUUUUCUUGUUUUCCUGUUUUCCUUUGAGGCCGAGUCAGCCCUUUGAAAGUAGGUCUGCCCUGGGGGGGCAGGUUUGGCUUGGAUGCAGGCAGCUGAGGAGCCUUGCAGUAGAUAAGCGCUCCUGGAUGUCUGGACGGCCAUGACGAAGCAGAGGGUUACUGGAGGACCUCUCUGCACAGUCUGUCUGGGCUUCCAGCCGGGGUUUUCUUGGAGGACAACUCUAGGGCCUCUCUUAGGACCCAAAGCAGCAAUCUUCAGGCUGGGAGACUGGGACCUAGAGCAGACUGCGACACAGAGUCAAACAAAAAUGGUGAGGAGGAACAGAAAAGGGGGACAGCUGUUUCAGCAUCAGCACCAGGGAAAACGCAACAAAAAGAAACAGAUGUCAGGUCUUGGAAGGGGCUACACUGGGAUGCAGGAUCUGGGCACAUUUUCUAUGGCUGACAGAAAAAAAAACAGCUCAUUCUUAGUGUUGCUGAUAAGCCGCGGUGGCAGUGAAUGGAUGUGCCCGGUGCCCGACUUUGCCCCAGCCUAAGGCAUCCGGUGCCCAUCUCACAGAGCCCACACCUACUAUUCCACCUGCUUGCAGAUUGUCAAGGGCUAACAGUUCAGAGUCUGAGAUGCUUCAUUUAAUCCGGGCAUUGAAAACAUCAUCUCUGUUUGGCGUAGGGUAAUACGGAAUAUUACGCAAUAG